This is a long non-coding RNA of Triplophysa dalaica, 1617 nucleotides long. RefSeq lists it as uncharacterized. The transcript has 4 exons. The record is from RefSeq and is a predicted model, not a curated record. NCBI's taxonomy places the organism in Eukaryota, Metazoa, Chordata, Actinopteri, Cypriniformes, Nemacheilidae.
UGGUGACGCUGUGAAGGUGCGUGGAAUGAUGGGAUCUGUUGUUUUCAACUCCACUGCUGAUGGAAGGAGGCCUCUGGUGCAAACGGAAUGCAGUCAAUGAACAAUAUUAGAUACUCGAUCCGUCUCGGUGGUCUGCCAUGGCUGUACCAAGAGGGGGUAUCCCGCCUAACCUACUGCUGAGAAUAAAUGACGUCAUAGCCGCUGUGGUGUACCCAAAGUGGAGGUUCAUCUGGUUUAUCUACUUUACGCAACCAAUGGCUCAUUACACUACGGUGGCUGACACAGGACUAAGAUGUCGUCAUGUGUUUGCUUCUUUGAUGAAGGACUUGACGUAUUUACGAAAUGCUCUUUAGAGGUUCAUCUGGUUUAUCUACUUUAUUUGAUCUGUUUUUAUGGGUUAUUUUAAUUUGUUUAUGGGGCGGUGUCCCGGACGGGGCUUAAGCCUAGUCCCAGACUAACUGAAAUGUUAGAGGCGUCUUAAACAGAAACAAUUUACACCGGGAUAUCUUAAAUAUUUAUAUUUUUUAAAUAUAAUUUUGUCUGAAAAUGCACACCAGUAUCGUUUACCAGUAUCGUAGCCCUAUAUGCUAUAAUGUUUAAUUUCGAACAAGGAGGAAAACAUGAGGCUUUGAGUUGCAAAUAAACAUUAAUUCCUCUUCAUGGCAAAUACCAGGAUACGUUGUAUAUCACCAUUCAUCCCAAAAAUACCAAGAUGAAAUUAGGUCAAUAUCGCCCAGCCCUAGUUGCUAUGGUAAUGCUAGCUCGAAUAAAAAGAGUUCUCUGUGAUGUCCAAUAUAGUUGUCUCUAGAUAUGAAAAAUCUACAGCAUUUUUCCCAGAUUUUUCAAUUGCCAGACAAAAAUCAUGAAUCUGUUUACUUCGAGUAAAUACACUUGUCCUCGACAAGCCAUAUCAUUCUCGUCCAGCACAAAUGGUGCAAGGCUAGGUAAAUGUUUUGUCUAAAUCCGAAGUAAACAUCUCUUAUAACAAAGCACCAGAGAGAAAUGUAAGUGGGUGACCCAAUUACUGAGAGAUAAGAAAAUGCCCAACUUUAAAAAUAUGAUCACGGUGAUCAUUCACAUCACUCUCAGAUAAAACGUUAGUUGCCAAAGAAGAAAAUAACAACUUGGGUUAAUAACGGCGAAUGCAAUGCAUGAUUAAAUUCACAUUAUUUAUUUAACAACAAAGAACAUCACCCUUUCAUCGCUAAUGAUGGAAAAAGAGAGCUUUAUAUAACACCGAAAGUGAAGCUCCGUGGAUGUCAUUUGUAUCGUGCCAGUGAAUAUGAAUGUAUGAAGUGAUUCUCAUAUCUUGUAUUGCUGCUGUCAUUAUGGUCUUUAUUCAGUCCUGUUGGCAUGGCAACUGAGUUAAGCCCUCGCUGUUAUCAAAGCAAACCUAUUGGGGCAGAGUGUGGAAGCGUAUGUGUGUUUGUGUAGUAUUCUGCAGUAAUAAAUACAGUGCAUUUAGGCAUUGUCAGAGACAAAGUUUUUCAGUUGUGUGUAUGCAACGUCUGAAACAUUUGCUUUAUACUGUAACAUACAGGGUGAACUACGUAAAAGAUUAAGCCCUCAUGCGUAGCCAGGGAAUUUCCCAAUCUAUUAAUCUUAUCGAAAUAAGGA